Molecule: long non-coding RNA, 2095 nt
Organism: Marmota monax (woodchuck)
Lineage: Eukaryota; Metazoa; Chordata; Mammalia; Rodentia; Sciuridae
Exons: 3
Source: RefSeq, a predicted model, not a curated record
CAAAGCACCAGGGCUGGGCCGCCCUCGAGGGCCCCAGCGGCGCCAGGCAUUGUGGGACUUCACUGUGGCCUCCUGGCUCCUGGACAGCCUCCCUGCAGCUGGGGGCCUCAUUCCCAGGAGCGUUCCCAGCCCAGCAAUGUCAGCAGGGGCUCAGUAAAUGCAGUUCUUAUCACGAGUGCCGAUGAAGUCCCCGUGGAGUGCAGGGGUGGCCUGAGGGACUGCAGCGGAGGACGACUAGGAGCUGGAUGGCCAAGGGCGAGUGUGACUGGACCAGGCGCAGGAAGGAUUCAUCUGUUAUGGAUUGAGGUGUGUCUUCCAGAACCAUAUGAUAUGUUGAAGUCCUCACACUGAGUACCACAGAACGUGACGAUUUGGACACGCGGUUGCUGCGGAUGUCACCAGUUCAGAUGAGGACAGACUAAUGGGGGGGGCAGAGGGGGCCUGGAUCCAAUAUGGCUGGAUACCCAUGAAGGCCCGGGCUGACGGCCACCAGCGGCAGCUGGGGAGGGGCGAGGAAGGACUGGACUUGGCUGUCAGGGGGACACGGCUCCAGGUACCCUGGUCAGUCUGCUGGCCUUCGGAGCUGGAGACAAACAGCCCGCUGGGCUACGGCACUCAGUUUGUGAUACUUUGUCACAGAAGUUCUAAGAAACAAAGAGAACAUUGGAGUUAAAUCACACUGGAUUUUUGCUUGUUUAGACCCUGUGCUCCCCUCUGAAGGAGGGUAUUUUUCUAGAAUGGACACAGAGCACUCCCCAGGGCAGUGCUUCAGGGACUCUGCUGGCCUGGCCCCCAGCUCCGCAGGCCUCCCCUGGCCCAGCCUCCUGCUGCCCCCCCCCACCCCAGCACCUGUUCCCACUUCCCCUUCCUCAGUGGAGCAGGUCGGAGCAGGUGGCCGGGUUUCAAAUCCUGCCUCUGCUGCUUCCUGGCAUCUGGAAACAUCACUCGGGCAAGUUCUGAUCUCUCGAGGCCUCAGUGUCCCCACCUGGGAAAUGGGCCCCCAUGGGGGGCCUUUCGAGGGCUGAGUCCUUCCCUCUGGGUGGCAGUGAGCACUGGAGGGCUGUCACGGUUCCCUCCCUCCUGCUCGGCUUCCAGGCGCCUCCCUGGUGGCCGCCCCCGACCCCACUGGAUGGUGUCACCCAGGAGCAUCGCACCUGCCUCCUCCUGUCUCCACCUGUGCGCCUCCCCUGGUGGAGAAGGGGGGACUGCAGCCCCAUGUCUGAGCACACAGUAGGUGCUUCGGAAAUAUUUAUUUACGAAGUGGAGCAGAAUAUUGGCAGUGACCCCAGAGGCUCCGGGACGGCUGUCGCAGGACGGCCUGCCCCUCCUCUGGAACUGAAAGUGGGAGAAAGUGAGCCCCAGGACAGGGCGCGGCGGGACGGGCACGACCCCAGGCCUGCUCCAGCUCGGGGACCUGGCCCCCAGCUCCGCACAUCCUGCCUCCUGUGUGACCCCACAUGCUGUCACCCACGCACACCCCCCAGUCCCCAGGCAGCAGCUUCCUCUGACACACACUUUCCACCGCUGGGUGAGCUGGGUGCGGCAGAGCAGGUUGCAGAUGACAACAAUCUCCAAGGUCCCUUCCCUGGUCCUCCCCACCACACCCCCUCCCCGUCCUGCUUGGCUCCUGUCCCUGCUGAACUGACCCGUCUGGAGCCCCGGACUUCAAUGGCACAGGAUCCACUGGAGGCCUAGAUGGCUACAUGAGGUGUCAGAAAUGUCUUGGACCAGGGACAGGAUGUAGAGUCAGGACCGUGGUCACCAUGUGACUCUGGGCAAGCCGUGCAGGUCCAGUCCCCUGGGGUUGCUGUAGGGCUGACACCAACAGUCCAGGGAGUGCCACCAUCCCUGCUCAUCUGAUCAUGUGUGGGGACAGCACAGGGGCCCCGCAGAUGUCGGGAAGGUCCCCUGCUCUGGGCCCAGCACUGAGUCAGGUGCUGGGGGUUUCGAGAGCGAUCUGACACCAGCUGAGCUGAUGUGGGGGAGAGAAGGGUAGAGUCAAGGGACGAGGUCACCAGACUCACUUCUGACCCCCUUAACUCUGCAUGGGACUUUCUGGAGCCUACAAUAAAGGUACCAACCCUGAUGCCUUCCA